RNAcentral lists this ribosomal RNA (643 nucleotides) under uncultured bacterium. RNAcentral describes it as "bacterial SSU rRNA". It matches the Rfam family "Bacterial small subunit ribosomal RNA", at positions 68 to 696 of the family's 1533-position model. The record is from RNAcentral.
GAGUUAUCUGAACCUUCGGGGAAUGAUAACGGCGUCGAGCGGCGGACGGGUGAGUAAUGCCUAGGAAAUUGCCCUGAUGUGGGGGAUAACCAUUGGAAACGAUGGCUAAUACCGCAUGAUGCCUACGGGCCAAAGAGGGGGACCUUCGGGCCUCUCGCGUUAGGAUAUGCCUAGGUGGGAUUAGCUAGUUGGUGAGGUAAGGGCUCACCAAGGCGACGAUCCCUAGCUGGUCUGAGAGGAUGAUCAGCCACACUGGAACUGAGACACGGUCCAGACUCCUACGGGAGGCAGCAGUGGGGAAUAUUGCACAAUGGGCGCAAGCCUGAUGCAGCCAUGCCGCGUGUGUGAAGAAGGCCUUCGGGUUGUAAAGCACUUUCAGUCGUGAGGAAGGUAGUGUAGUUAAUAGCUGCAUUAUUUGACGUUAGCGACAGAAGAAGCACCGGCUAACUCCGUGCCAGCAGCCGCGGUAAUACGGAGGGUGCGAGCGUUAAUCGGAAUUACUGGGCGUAAAGCGCAUGCAGGUGGUUUGUUAAGUCAGAUGUGAAAGCCCGGGGCUCAACCUCGGAAUAGCAUUUGAAACUGGCAGACUAGAGUACUGUAGAGGGGGGUAGAAUUUCAGGUGUAGCGGUGAAAUGCGUAGAGA